GUCUACGGCCAUACCACGUUGAACACACCGGUUCUCGUCCGAUCACCGAAGUUAAGCAACGUCGGGCCCGGUUAGCACUUGGAUGGGUGACCGCCUGGGAACACCGGGUGCUGUAGGCA
Molecule: ribosomal RNA, 119 nt
Filed under: Pomacea canaliculata
Lineage: Eukaryota; Metazoa; Mollusca; Gastropoda; Architaenioglossa; Ampullariidae
Source: RNAcentral